ACGUUAAAAAAGCUGUCCUCACUGAGGAGAGACGUCUAUGAGCUCCAGCGAACCUCCAUCUCUGAAGGUUACCUGGUGUACAACAACAAGCGUAGAUAGUUAUCACACCUGUGAUGCCACCAAACACUGGCAAGCUGAUUUAUUUGAGAGGAGCUGACCAUAGGCCAGCAAAACCCCCAAAGUCCAAGCUCAUCAUGGCAAACCAUGAGAGUUGAGGUGUUCAUGAUACUCAAACAGGCAUGCCCAUCGGAAUAUCCAAGGGGCGCAAGGUGCGUUCAAAGAUUCGAUGAUUCACUGAAUUCUGCAAUUCACAUUACUUAUCGCAUUUCGCUGCGUUCUUCAUCGAUGCGAGAGCCAAGAGAUCCGUUGCUGAAAGUUGUAUUGUAUUGCGUUAAACGCGGUGUACAUUCCAUAUGACUUUAUUACAGUGUGUGUGUAAAGAUGCAGAACCACAGAAGGAAGACAGGGUCCCCCAGACCAUAGAACUACAGAGGGUGCACAGGUGUGAGUGGAUGUGUAAACAGAGCGUGCACAUGCC
This 538-nucleotide unclassified non-coding RNA is filed under the name uncultured fungus. RNAcentral's name for it is "sequence contains ITS1, 5.8S rRNA gene, ITS2 and 28S rRNA gene". Lineage: Eukaryota; Fungi. The record is from RNAcentral.